This 107-nucleotide small nuclear RNA is filed under the name Moschus moschiferus (Siberian musk deer). Lineage: Eukaryota; Metazoa; Chordata; Mammalia; Artiodactyla; Moschidae. The record is from RNAcentral.
GUGCUCACUUCAGCAGCACAUAUACUAAAAUUGGAACAAUGCAGAGACAAUUAGCAUGGCCCUUCCACAAGGAUGACAUGAAAAUUCAUGAAAUGUUCCAUAUUUUU